CCUACGGGAGGCAGCAGUGAGGAAUAUUGGUCAAUGGCCGGAAGGCUGAACCAGCCAUGCCGCGUGGGUGAAGAAGCGCCUCGGCGCGUAAAGCCCUGUCAGCAGGGAAGAAAAUGACGGUACCUGAAGAAGAAGCCCCGGCUAACUACGUGCCAGCAGCCGCGGUAAUACGUAGGGGGCAAGCGUUAUCCGGAUUUACUGGGUGUAAAGGGAGCGUAGACGGCGAUGCAAGUCUGAAGUGAAAGGCGGGGGCCCAACCUCCGGACUGCUUUGGAAACUGUAUGGCUGGAGUGCAGGAGAGGUAAGUGGAAUUCCUAGUGUAGCGGUGAAAUGCGUAGAUAUUAGGAGGAACACCAGUGGCGAAGGCGGCUUACUGGACUGUAACUGACGUUGAGGCUCGAAAGCGUGGGGAGCAAACAGGAUUAGAUACCCGUGUAGUC
This 440-nucleotide ribosomal RNA is filed under the name uncultured bacterium. RNAcentral describes it as "partial 16S ribosomal RNA". It matches the Rfam family "Bacterial small subunit ribosomal RNA", at positions 338 to 795 of the family's 1533-position model. The record is from RNAcentral.